UCCACUGGGGAUGGAGGGCGGGGCAUGUCAGAGUUGAACUGACAAAAACCUCCUGUCGCUCAACAAGCAAAGUCCAAACCUCGCAUGAGUCAGAAGUCAUGAAGAGGCAGAGGGGGAAAGUGAAGCGUUUAGUGCGGAGCACAUCUCUCCCAUCACCCUCCCCCUUUUGGGGGGGGGGGUACUACCCCAUCCUGUAAUGAAUUUCUCUCCACGGUGUUUCCUGAGAAAUGUGACUUGUCCUUCUUCAAACAAGUUUUAAGGAGAAUCCUCAGCAGUAGGUAAUGGCUUGACUAUACCCCUGACAUUUCUCUCUCUCUCUCUCUCUCUCUCUCUACACACCUCUCUACUUCUUAUUCAAAAAUAGAUUUAAGCUUGUUAACCGAAAUAAGCACACCAAAUACUAUCGCAGAUAACAAUUAGUAAUAAAAGAACGUUUUAAGCUCGUUGUGAGUCAAAGAGGCGAGACAAAGUUUGAAAACCAUUAACUAUUAACAAAUCCUAAACCGGCACUGUACGGCGCGACGGCGAGUGGAGUUGUGUUCAAAUUAAUUGAGAACAACGCCUCCUCGCCGUUGUCACAUACACACGCACAUCGUUAACUCAGCCAGACAUGAUGGGUAUUCAGAGAACGCAGGUGCUAAUUACUGUUCUCGUGACUGGGCUUACAAAUCAAUUCACAUUACCGCUCCGACAGCGAUGGAGGCGCUACACAUAUAAAGGUCCUCCGUGCAUUCAAUAUUCAGUGAGUUUGCGACGAAAUAAAUCAACUAAAGACCACGGAGCCGGCGGACAACGCCUGUCUUACCGUUUUCAAUUAAAUUUCAGGCAGUCCAUGUUGUAAAUGAUUUCAAAGACAUCCAAACCUAAAUUUUCUAAGGAGAGUAAAGCAUCCCCGUAAAAAAAUUUGAGCUAUAAUCACAAGUAGCGUAGGUACUGCUGUAUUCUCCUCGGCCAUACGUUUGCAAUGCUCCGUUACUUUGUAACGCCAGAAAAUUUCAUUUAAUUUUUUUUAAAUGUGGCGCAGUGUGGAGAAAUCAAUAAUGUUUUUUUUAAUACACAUAUAAGUUCGGUAACUCAACACUGCAUGCCGUGACUGUGCGAUUUUGUCUAUGAUGCGACGACAAAUUUUGCACAUCACUGGCAUGCAGAAUCUUCGAGAAUCGACACAUUAAUAAUAUAAAAGGAGAAAUUCACUUUGUCCAAGUCUCUUUCGUGUCUCAUCUCUUGAGCUGCGAGGUGGCUAUAUUCUUUGAUUUACCAAAGUCAGUUUCAUUAAUUCUUGGUGUCGUGUGAUAAACCAGGGUCCUUGUAACUGGUACAAAAUAUGUACUACAGUUAGGGUGCGGAGCGUGACCUUCUGUUUGCCUUCGGGAUCCCACAGUACCUUUCUAUAUGGACGCUGCCAGAAGCGGGGAGCUCUAGCAAGUCGGUCCAAGAAAAGCUGCUUGACUGCGGUAGACAUAGAACACACCUGCAUUCCCAGCCUCGCUCGCAGACAGCAACCCCGGUUGCUGGGAAGCGAUCCUGGUGAAGCGUAUUGUUUCUUUUAACUAAUUUAUAUUAAUUUUCUUUCUGUGUAACUUUCUCGAGUGUUCGGUGUAUCUACCGACACACCUUCAACUUUGUAACUUAACCUCUCACUAGUACUUUGUAAAUUAUUGUAGCUCUUUUUAUCCUUUUAUAUUUGUGUGUAAUAAACACAAUAUUGUUACUUUUAAUUUGUUUUUUUUAUUGGUGUAAGUCUCCCAGAGCGGUAAGUGGUGGCGCCCUGAGAUCCUCCUCACAGAGUCUCCUGUUCACCGGUUAUCUACCGGUGGUGACGUGUCUAGAAGUGGUGCGUAUUCACUGUUGUGUGUAUUCACUCGUUGACACAGCAAGGCUAGAGUCGCUUGGUGCUUCGCAUCCUGCGAUUUCUCUUUUUAUUAUAUAUUUAUUCGGAGCCAUCAUACCUCAUUCUUGCUUUUGGUAUUCCUAUUGUUACUGCGCUGGCGUUCGGGAUAAAUAAAAAUUCUACCGAAUUACAUGUUAGCAAUGUAUUAGCACUUAGAACACUAAAAACACUUCACAAAUACUUUAAAAUUUUCAAUUCAUUUCUUCCGCUUCGCUUCAGGUGAUCCGUUCGCCAUUUCGCUUCGAGUAGUUCCGAUUACUGACUAACUGGGUGCCAUCCCUGCAACGCUUUUAUAGCCGAUACCACAUCAAUAGAAUUAUCGAGAAUAUUCCACAUAUUUCGAGUAUUAUGUUUCCGCUAUCUGACAAUAGAUGGAGUUGUACUUCUCGAGCGUCCUAGGUGCUUCUAGAUCCUUCGAUAUUCGUUCGAAUAUUCGGCGAUAGAUGGCGUUACUCUUACCGGCGUAACACUAUAAUUAUGAAAUCGGCUUCAUUCUUCCAGAGUACAUUUCGGAUCCACAAGAGAACUUUUUUUGUUCGUGUCUUCAAUUCGCAGACCAGCUCCAAAGGAUCCAGUGGAUCUGGAAUUAGCCUCCGUCCUGAGAAGAAACUCAGCGGGCAUGUCUUUUUUUUUUUUUAAAUAAGAAACUAUUAUUUAUUAAUUUUUUAAUAUUAGAUAAAAAAAAAUAACAAUGAGUAUUAUAACGUAACAAUUACUACAAUAUUGAAAUGCCCGGAGCGAGCAACUCGUUGAGAAAAGUUUAAUAAGAGCAAAUUCAAUGGACUUAAAUUGUUUUGCUUACGACAGUGGAAUGCGCGCGGCGUGUCCGUGUCCAGCGACGGUGACUGUUCACCUACUCAUCUACACAUAUUUUUUUUUAUUGCUUAGAUGGGUGGACGAGCUCACAGCCCACCUGAUGUUAAGUGAAUACUGUAGCCCAUGGACAUCCACAACGUAAAUGCGCCGCCCACCUUGAGAUAUAAGUUCUAAGCUCUCAAGUAUAGUUACAACGGCUGCCCCACCCUUCAAACCGAAACGCCUUACUGCUUCACGUCAGAAAUAGGAAGGGUGGUGGUACCUACCCGCGCGGACUCGCAAGAGGUCCUACCACCAGUAAACACACACAUAAAAACCACACAUGUAGGUAUUGCACUAAGUGCGUCGGCUCGGUACUCGCAAUGUUUCAGUCAUUCAAUAGGAAUGUACCAUCUGAGUUCCCCGCCGAAGUAGAAGAUAAUUUAGCGGCGGAGCGCGAUGGCGGCCGGAUAUAAAGCGGGUAUGACUUCCGAUGAACUCUGCUCGAUGGGGUUCGGAAACGCCGCGCCAGAUCAUUACGGCCCUCCCACAAUACUCGCCGCCAUUGUGAUUAUGUGGUUCAAUUUGUUCCACGAGACGCACAAAUGUCUACGUUGCGAAUUUCGCAUAUAACCUUACCCCUCACGCUGUAUCAACUAACAAGUACAAAACACCUUCCUAUAUUGAAAAACAAGUUUUAUUUUGUGUUCCUUGACCGGUGACUGGUGCUGAACUGAUUACCGGAGACCACAAGGCGAAGAACACUGGCGUGAGCAUAAGUGACGACGCAGUUUUCUCUAGAUAUCUUUCUAAUUUUCAUUAGAAAACAUGUGCAUCUUACAUACAUAUGUCACACUCCUUUUUUCGCAUAUAUGAUGCAUCACCAGCUCGACUCGACUCGACGACAAAGGUACACGUCGCGACGCGGGAUUGCGCUCACUGAGCACACAGCAGAGAUCCUCCAGCGACUCUGCCACAGCCCGCAAAUCGGAGGUGGGAGAUACUCGCCAUUAACAUUUAUGCCCAGUUUACACUAAACCAGUCUUGAAGACGUCCUCGAGAGCAGCAGGAGAGCAGCAUGUAGCGUCUCCUUGUUGCACGGCUUUGUGAAUCUCAAUCGGGUUUGUCUGCUGGUCUUGGAUCCGGAGUGUCACUGUAGCGGCCUUAUAUAAACUCAUCCACAGCGGACCGACAGCGGACCGACAACAGACCGACUGGACAUCGCUGUAAGGAUUCCAGAACAGCGCAGGUUUCGACGAGUUCGAAGGUUUUGUCGCACGCGGCCUGCGCCAGAAACGAACCUCCUCGUCUAGAGGCCAACCGACUAGUAAGGACACUCGAGAACACAGAAAGGUUUCCAACUAAAAAAGCCAAAUUAAUUAAUAGUUAUAUUUAAAAAAAUAAUUAAUGUUUAUAGUUAUAUUAACUAACUAUACGCUUUUGUAAAUAGCUAAAUAAAAAAUAAAUUAAAAUAAAAUAUUUUUAUUGUAAACCUGAGGGAUUGCUUUUUAUAAUGACUUUAACCAAUAUCUAUUAAUAAAAUAUUUACAAAUUAAACAUUUUUUUCUGAAUAUGUCAUAGUGCCGGCCCGGCCCGCCCGCCGCACACUGUCAGUAAAAUGAAAGAGAUCGGUAGCGAUAUAAACUUGUAUUCUGCAUUACACAUUUCCAUGUUAUCACAUUAUUACUUAACACUAGACAACACUAGACGACACUAGACAAACGUUUGAGGACUACGAUGACUUCACUUCAGCACUUCACAAGUUCACAGCUGUGCAGUGGGUCAGACUCGAUAAAUGUGUUGGCAUUACUUUUGUACAAUAUGUAAUUAAUAUUGAGGUAUGAAGGAGGACAGAUAAGUUGUGAAUCGUUAUCGCGCCGACUCGCAGUGAGCUGGGACUAUUCAUCGGCCUGAGACUGCCGCUUCUUUUUCUUCUUUUUUUCACUCUUGGGUUCUUCAAGUGAGACCUCGGGUUCUGGUUCUGGUUCAGUUUUUACUUCUGAUUUCCGUUUCUUCUUUUUCUUCUUUUCAGAGCUGGGUUCUGGGAGCGCGUCUUCUGCCGGUUCUUCGUUUUCAGUUUUUAUAUUUUUAAGUGACAC
Long non-coding RNA from Bombyx mori (domestic silkworm), 4785 nucleotides. RefSeq lists it as uncharacterized. Lineage: Eukaryota; Metazoa; Arthropoda; Insecta; Lepidoptera; Bombycidae. The record is from RefSeq and is a predicted model, not a curated record. The transcript is spliced from 2 exons.